GAUGAAGAACGUAGCGAAAUGCGAUAAGUAAUGUGAAUUGCAGAAUUCAGUGAAUCAUCGAAUCUUUGAACGCACAUUGCGCCCGCCAGUAUUCUGGCGGGCAUGCCUGUUCGAGCGUCAUUUCAACCAUCAAGCCCCCGGCUUGUGUUGGGGACCUGCGGCUGCCGCAGGCCCUGAAAACCAGUGGCGGGCUCGCUGUCACACCGAGCGUAGUAGAUUUUCAUCUCGCUCAGGGCGUGCUGCGGGUUCAGGCCGUAAAAAGCCUUAUUUACCCAAGGUUGACCUCGGAUCAGGUAGGAAGACCCGCUGAACUUAAGCAUAUCAAUAAGCGGAGGA
This 336-nucleotide unclassified non-coding RNA is filed under the name soil metagenome. RNAcentral describes it as "partial contains 5.8S ribosomal RNA, internal transcribed spacer 2, and large subunit ribosomal RNA". The stretch from base 1 to 120 matches the Rfam family "5.8S ribosomal RNA", at positions 35 to 154 of the family's 154-position model. The record is from RNAcentral.